RNAcentral lists this transfer RNA (72 nucleotides) under Pectobacterium polaris. RNAcentral describes it as "tRNA-Pro". Lineage: Bacteria; Pseudomonadati; Pseudomonadota; Gammaproteobacteria; Enterobacterales; Pectobacteriaceae. The record is from RNAcentral.
CGGCUUGGAGUGAAAUUAGUUCGGCGUCAUGGGGUGUCGGGGUCGGAGGUUCAAAUCCUCUCGUGCCGACCA